This 606-nucleotide long non-coding RNA is filed under the name Cervus hanglu yarkandensis (Yarkand deer). Its description in RNAcentral is "lncRNA (ENSCHYG00000022303.1)". Lineage: Eukaryota; Metazoa; Chordata; Mammalia; Artiodactyla; Cervidae. The record is from RNAcentral.
GGGAGCCCGCGAGCGCCCCAGCCCGGGCCGGCGCCCUCGCCAGCGCCCGCGGCCGGAGCCGGGAAGCCGCGGCAGGCGCUGCCCUGCCCGCGCCGGGAGUGAGCGGCUGCGCGGCUGCUGGGAGGGUGAAUGAAGCCGGGAGGAGGGGAGGGGGGAGGCGGCGGCGGCGGAGGAGGCGCUGCGGGCGCUGGGAUGCGCCCGGAGCCCCGCUGCUCGCUCACUCUGGGCCGGGCCGGAGUCUCCGCCACUCCCGCGGCCGCCGCCGCCGCCUCCUACGUGGUUCCAGCGCUGCGCGCAGGCCGGUCCCGCAGGGGGCAGGGCAGGGGGCCGGCCGGGCGGAGCGAGAGGAGGAUCCGGCUGCAAAUCACCGAGGUGUUCCGUUCAAGCUGCAGAUUCGUCUGUCGUCUUUGGACAGCGGUCUCCUCCUCCACGGCUGCCUCGGGGGAGCCCGACACCCAUCAGGUCACAGAGAGUGCUGGUGGACAUCUCUCCCUGCCCCGAGAUCUUCGGUGGAAGUCCACGGGACUUGGUGUCUGGGCCAUUCAAAGUAUAUAUGAACUCACCAGGAGGCAUAAUGCGUCACCAUUUAAUUCUGGGCCACCCUAA